Non-coding RNA from Lipotes vexillifer (Yangtze River dolphin), 825 nucleotides. Lineage: Eukaryota; Metazoa; Chordata; Mammalia; Artiodactyla; Lipotidae. The record is from RefSeq and is a predicted model, not a curated record.
AUGGACUUUGGGCUGAGCUGGCUUGUCCUUGUGGCUAUUUUACAAGGUGUCCAGUGUGAGGUGUAGCUGGUGGAGUCUGGGGGAGGCUUGGUGAAGCCAGGGGGGUCUCUGCGACUCUCUUGUGCAGCGUCUGGAUUCACCUUCAGUAGCUAUGGCAUGAGCUGGGUCCACCAGGCUCCAGGGAAGGGGCUGGAGUGGAUCUCAGCUAUUAGUGGUAAUGGUGGUUACACAUACUAUGCAGACUCUGUGAAGGGCCGAUUCACCAUCUCCAGAGACAACUCCAAGAACACGCUGUAUCUGCAAAUGAACAGCCUGAGAUCUGAGGACACGGCCGUGUAUUACUGUGCGAAAGGCUUUGGUCAUUUCUGGGUCCAUUUGUAUGGCACAUCCAUGCCUAUGGUUAAAAUGGUUUCCCUUUCUCCUGUUAAUCUGUCUUUAGAACUUCUGGGCUUCCUGAAUCGCAUCUGCAGGAAGAUGAAUCCACUGUGGUUCUUCGUCUUCCUGGUGUCAGCUCCCAGAGGUGUCCUGUCCCAGGUGCAGCUGCAGGAGUCGGGACCCAGCCUGGUGAAGCCCUCCCAGACCCUCUCCCUCACCUGCACUGUCUCUGGAUUCUCAUUAAGCAGCUAUGCUGUAGGCUGGGUCCGCCAGGCUCCAGGAAAGGGGCUGGAGUCGGUUGGUGUCCUGUCCCAGGUAUUGCUGCAGGAAUCGGACCCAGGACUAUUGAAGGCUGUCUCCUUAACCCGCUCACUCUCUGGAUUCCCCAUUACAAACAGUGCUGACUGCUGGGACUGGAUCCCGCAGCCCCCAGGGAAAGGGCUGGGGUGA